This 493-nucleotide ribosomal RNA is filed under the name uncultured bacterium. RNAcentral describes it as "partial 16S ribosomal RNA". It matches the Rfam family "Bacterial small subunit ribosomal RNA", at positions 29 to 508 of the family's 1533-position model. The record is from RNAcentral.
AGUGAACGCUGGCGGUAGGCCUAACACAUGCAAGUCGAACGGCAGCACAGUAAGAGCUUGCUCUUACGGGUGGCGAGUGGCGGACGGGUGAGGAAUACAUCGGAAUCUACUUUUUCGUGGGGGAUAACGUAGGGAAACUUACGCUAACACCGCAUACGACCUACGGGUGAAAGCAGGGGAUCUUCGGACCUUGCGCGAUUGAAUGAGCCGAUGUCGGAUUAGCUAGUUGGCGGGGUAAAGGCCCACCAAGGCGACGAUCCGUAGCUGGUCUGAGAGGAUGAUCAGCCACACUGGAACUGAGACACGGUCCAGACUCCUACGGGAGGCAGCAGUGGGGAAUAUUGGACAAUGGGCGCAAGCCUGAUCCAGCCAUACCGCGUGGGUGAAGAAGGCCUUCGGGUUGUAAAGCCCUUUUGUUGGGAAAGAAAAGCAGCAGGUUAAUACCCCGCUGUUCUGACGGUACCCAAAGAAUAAGCACCGGCUAACUUCGUGC